Long non-coding RNA from Pipistrellus kuhlii (Kuhl's pipistrelle), 389 nucleotides. RefSeq lists it as uncharacterized. The record is from RefSeq and is a predicted model, not a curated record. NCBI's taxonomy places the organism in Eukaryota, Metazoa, Chordata, Mammalia, Chiroptera, Vespertilionidae. The transcript is spliced from 3 exons.
AUAAACUAGUUGCUUCUAGAUUGUAAAUGUUGCUCUGUGCCUUACACUGAAAAAUAUUUUAAAGUAAAAUGUCUUUUCAAAGUAAAAUAUCUUUUCAAGUUAUUUCUUAAUUAUUAUGUAAAUAUUAAUGGUAGCACUAAAAUGUCAACAGUGUUUUCAAAAAUAUACCGCCCUUUACCUCUGCUAAAGUCUCCACCCUGGUAGUUGCAUGAAAAUCUGCUCAAGUGACCACAUUUCUCAGCCUACAGUGAAGAGCAGGGCCACUGAGGAAAAACAAAGCGCCCAUUUCAAUGUGUGUACAUUUUUUACCAACUGUUUUGCAUCUAUAAUGUUUUAAGGAAAUAGUGUGUUGACUUUAUAAAUUUCACUUCUUAGUACAAUGAAAACUA